GUACGGCGGCAGGGCUGAACUCAAAGGACUGACGGGACCCGCACAAGCGGCGAGCAUGUGGUUUAUUUGAAGCAACGCGGAGAACUUUACCAGGUCUUGACAUCCUCUGACACUCCUAGAGAUAGGACGUUCCCCUUCGGGGGACAGAGUGACAGGUGGUGCAUGGUUGUCGUCAGCUCGUGUCGUGAGAUGUUGGGUUAAGUCCCGCAACGAGCGCAACCCUUAUUCUUAGUUGCCAGCAUUCAGUUGGGCACUCUAAGGAGACUGCCGGUGACAAACCGGAGGGAAGGUGGGGAUGACGUCAAAUCAUCAUGCCCCUUAUGACCUGGGUCUACACACGUGCUACAAUGGAUGGUACAAAGGGCUGCAAAACCGUGAGGUCAAGCGAAUCCCAUAAAACCAUUCUCAGUUCGGAUUGUAGGCUGCAACUCGCCUACAUGAAGCUGGAAUCGUCUAGUAAUCGUGGAUCAGCAUGCCACGGUGAAUACGUUCCCGGGUCUGUACACACCGCCCGUCACACCACGAAAGUUUGUAACACCCAAAGUCGGUG
RNAcentral lists this ribosomal RNA (550 nucleotides) under uncultured Bacillota bacterium. RNAcentral describes it as "bacterial SSU rRNA". It matches the Rfam family "Bacterial small subunit ribosomal RNA", at positions 880 to 1432 of the family's 1533-position model. Lineage: Bacteria; Bacillati; Bacillota. The record is from RNAcentral.